RNAcentral lists this transfer RNA (73 nucleotides) under Stegodyphus mimosarum. It matches the Rfam family "tRNA". Rfam says of the family: Transfer RNA (tRNA) molecules are approximately 80 nucleotides in length. Lineage: Eukaryota; Metazoa; Arthropoda; Arachnida; Araneae; Eresidae. The record is from Rfam by way of RNAcentral.
GCUUUCGUGGUGUAAUGGUCAGCACACUCGGCGCGUAUUCGAUAAGUCCGUGGUUCGAGUCCUGGUGAAAGCA